This is a transfer RNA of Ipomoea nil (Japanese morning glory), 82 nucleotides long. It matches the Rfam family "tRNA". Rfam says of the family: Transfer RNA (tRNA) molecules are approximately 80 nucleotides in length. The record is from Rfam. Lineage: Eukaryota; Viridiplantae; Streptophyta; Magnoliopsida; Solanales; Convolvulaceae.
GUGGGCGUGCCGGAGUGGUUAUCGGGCAUGACUAGAAAUCAUGUGGGCUUUGCCCGUGUAGGUUCAAAUCCUAUCGCUCACA